This 200-nucleotide ribosomal RNA is filed under the name uncultured bacterium. Its description in RNAcentral is "partial 16S ribosomal RNA". It matches the Rfam family "Bacterial small subunit ribosomal RNA", at positions 8 to 215 of the family's 1533-position model. The record is from RNAcentral.
AGAGUUUGAUCCUGGCUCAGGACUAACGCUGGCGGCGUGCCUAACACAUGCAAGUCGAACGAGAGUAGCAAUACUCUAGUGGCAGACGGGUGAGUAACACGUGGUCAACCUACCUAUUAGUGGGGGAUAACUAGCCGAAAGGUUAGCUAAUACCGCAUACGAUCUAUGCGUGGCAUCAUGUAUAGAUGAAAGGAGCAAUC